CUACCAUGCAAGUCGUACGAGAAAGGGUCUUUCGGGACCCGAGUAAAGUGGCGCACGGGUUGAGUAACACGNUGGAUAAUCUGCCCUGCAGUUGGGAAUAACCCACCGAAAGGUGUGCUAAUACCGAAUAAUGCUAAUAGACCUUGGUCGGUUAGCCAAAGAGAGCCUCUGCUUGCAAGCCCUCGCUGUGGGAUGAGUCCGCGUACCAUUAGCUAGUUGGCAGGGUAAUGGCCUACCAAGGCGACGAUGGUUAGCUGGUCUGAGAGGAUGAUCAGCCACACUGGAACUGAGACACGGUCCAGACUCCUACGGGAGGCAGCAGUGAGGAAUCUUGCGCAAUGGGGGAAACCCUGACGCAGCAACGCCGCGUGAGUGAGGAAGGUCUUCGGAUCGUAAAGCUCUGUCAGUUGGAAAGAAACGCUUAUGUGCUAAUACCACAUAGGUUUGACGGUACCAACAGAGGAAGCACCGGCUAACUCCGUGCCAGCAGCCGCGGUAAUACGGGGGGUGCAAGCGUUGUUCGGAAUUAUUGGGCGUAAAGAGCGUGUAGGCUGCCUGAUGUGUCAGAUGUGAAAGCCCUGGGCUUAACCCAGGAAGUGCAUUUGAAACUGUCAGGCUUGAGUAGGGGAGGGGGAAGCGGAAUUCCUGGUGUAGAGGUGAAAUUCGUAGAUAUCAGGAGGAACACCGGUGGCGAAGGCGACUUCCUGGCCCUAUACUGACGCUGAGACGCGAGAGCGUGGGUAGCAAACAGGAUUAGAUACCCUGGUAGUCCACGCUGUAAACGAUGUUCACUAGGUGUUGGGGGUAUUGACCCCCUCAGUGCCGGAGCUAACGCGUUAAGUGAACCGCCUGGGGAGUACGGUCGCAAGACUAAAACUCAAAGGAAUUGACGGGGGCCC
RNAcentral lists this ribosomal RNA (899 nucleotides) under uncultured delta proteobacterium. RNAcentral's name for it is "bacterial SSU rRNA". It matches the Rfam family "Bacterial small subunit ribosomal RNA", at positions 49 to 922 of the family's 1533-position model. Lineage: Bacteria; Deltaproteobacteria. The record is from RNAcentral.